RNAcentral lists this ribosomal RNA (216 nucleotides) under uncultured bacterium. RNAcentral's name for it is "partial 16S ribosomal RNA". It matches the Rfam family "Bacterial small subunit ribosomal RNA", at positions 118 to 351 of the family's 1533-position model. The record is from RNAcentral.
UGGGAACGUACCCUUUGGUUCGGAACAACCCAGGGAAACUUGGGCUAAUACCGGAUAAGUCCGUAAGGAGAAAGAUUUAUCGCCAAAGGAUCGGCCCGCGUCUGAUUAGCUAGUUGGUAGGGUAAUGGCCUACCAAGGCUACGAUCAGUAGCUGGUCUGAGAGGAUGAUCAGCCACAUUGGGACUGAGACUCGGCCCAAACUCCUACGGGAGGCAG